GAUGAACGCUAGCUACAGGCUUAACACAUGCAGGUCGCGGGGCAGCAUGGGGGUUGCUUGCAAUCCCCGAUGGCGACCGGCGCACGGGUGAGUAACGCGUAUCCAACCUGCCCUUCACCACGGGAUAACCCGGCGAAAGUCGGACUAAUACCGUAUGUUGUCCAUUGACGGCAUCCGAUUUGGACGAAAGGUUUGGCGGUGAAGGAUGGGGAUGCGUCCGAUUAGCUGGACGGCGGGGUGACGGCCCACCGUGGCGACGAUCGGUAGGGGUUCUGAGAGGAAGGUCCCCCACACUGGAACUGAGACACGGUCCAGACUCCUACGGGAGGCAGCAGUGAGGAAUAUUGGUCAAUGGGCGUAAGCCUGAACCAGCCAAGUAGCGUGCAGGAGGACGGCCCUAUGGGUUGUAAACUGCUUUUAUGCGGGGAUAAAGUGGCCCACGUGUGGGUUUUUGCAGGUACCGCAUGAAUAAGGACCGGCUAAUUCCGUG
Molecule: ribosomal RNA, 490 nt
Filed under: uncultured bacterium
Lineage: Bacteria
Description: partial 16S ribosomal RNA
Rfam family: Bacterial small subunit ribosomal RNA
Source: RNAcentral